GAGCAAUGAAGAGAAAUUCGCUUUUGUGAUGUUUGGGUUCAUCUCUGUCUCUGAUCUUACGAUGAAAAACUGCGCUUUUGAGCUC
Gossypium arboreum is the source of this 85-nucleotide small nucleolar RNA. It matches the Rfam family "small nucleolar RNA snoR114". The record is from Rfam. NCBI's taxonomy places the organism in Eukaryota, Viridiplantae, Streptophyta, Magnoliopsida, Malvales, Malvaceae.